GAUGAACGCUGGCGGCGUGCCUAAUACAUGCAAGUCGAGCGAACAGACGAGGAGCUUGCUCCUCUGACGUUAGCGGCGGACGGGUGAGUAACACGUGGAUAACCUACCUAUAAGACUGGGAUAACUUCGGGAAACCGGAGCUAAUACCGGAUAAUAUAUUGAACCGCAUGGUUCAAUAGUGAAAGACGGUUUUGCUGUCACUUAUAGAUGGAUCCGCGCCGCAUUAGCUAGUUGGUAAGGUAACGGCUUACCAAGGCAACGAUGCGUAGCCGACCUGAGAGGGUGAUCGGCCACACUGGAACUGAGACACGGUCCAGACUCCUACGGGAGGCAGCAGUAGGGAAUCUUCCGCAAUGGGCGAAAGCCUGACGGAGCAACGCCGCGUGAGUGAUGAAGGUCU
RNAcentral lists this ribosomal RNA (400 nucleotides) under Staphylococcus sp. RNAcentral describes it as "bacterial SSU rRNA". It matches the Rfam family "Bacterial small subunit ribosomal RNA", at positions 28 to 417 of the family's 1533-position model. Lineage: Bacteria; Bacillati; Bacillota; Bacilli; Caryophanales; Staphylococcaceae. The record is from RNAcentral.